This 465-nucleotide ribosomal RNA is filed under the name uncultured bacterium. RNAcentral describes it as "partial 16S ribosomal RNA". It matches the Rfam family "Bacterial small subunit ribosomal RNA", at positions 338 to 795 of the family's 1533-position model. The record is from RNAcentral.
CCUACGGGUGACAGCAGUAGGGAAUAUUGCUCAAUGGGGGAAACCCUGAAGCAGCAACGCCGCGUGGAGGAUGAAGGUCUUCGGAUCGUAAACCUCUGUCAGCAGGGAAGAACGGUCACUGUGCUAAUCAGCAGUGAAUUGACGGUACCUGCAAAGGAAGCACCGGCUAACUCCGUGCCAGCAGCCGCGGUAAUACGGAGGGUGCGAGCGUUAAUCGGAAUUACUGGGCGUAAAGCGCUCGUAGGCGGUAUGUCAAGUCAAGGGUGAAAUCCCCGCGCUCAACGUGGGAACUGCCUUUGAAACUGGCAAACUGGAGUGUGUGAGAGGAUAGUGGAAUUCCAGGUGUAGGAGUGAAAUCCGUAGAUAUCUGGAGGAACAUCAGUGGCGAAGGCGACUAUCUGGCACAUAACUGACGCUGAGGAGCGAAAGCGUGGGUAGCAAACAGGAUUAGAUACCCGUGUAGUC